This 923-nucleotide ribosomal RNA is filed under the name uncultured Verrucomicrobiaceae bacterium. Its description in RNAcentral is "bacterial SSU rRNA". It matches the Rfam family "Bacterial small subunit ribosomal RNA", at positions 56 to 963 of the family's 1533-position model. Lineage: Bacteria; Pseudomonadati; Verrucomicrobiota; Verrucomicrobiia; Verrucomicrobiales; Verrucomicrobiaceae. The record is from RNAcentral.
UGCAGUCGAACGGAGCAAUGCGAUUACAUCAAGAUUGCUCAGUGGCGGACGGGUGCGUAACACGUGAGCAACCUGCCCGGAAGAGGGGGAUAGCCCAGGGAAACUUGGAUUGAUACCCCGUGUGAUUAGAGAAGGCAUCUUCUCAAAAUUAAAGGCGCUGAAAGGUGCCGCUUCCGGAUGGGCUCGCGGCCUAUCAGCUAGUUGGCGGGGUAACGGCCCACCAAGGCAACGACGGGUAGCUGGUCUGAGAGGACGACCAGCCACACUGGAACUGAGACACGGUCCAGACACCUACGGGUGGCAGCAGUCGAGAAUAAUUCACAAUGGGGGAAACCCUGAUGGUGUGACGCCGCGUGGAGGAUGAAGGUCUUCGGAUUGUAAACUCCUGUCAAGUGAGAGUAAAACCGGGUAGUAACUAUAUCCCGGCUUGAGAGUAUCACUAGAGGAAGAGACGGCUAACUCUGUGCCAGCAGCCGCGGUAAUACAGAGGUCUCAAGCGUUGUUCGGAAUCACUGGGCGUAAAGGGUGCGUAGGCUGCACGGUAAGUCAGAUGUGAAAUCCCAGAGCUCAACUUUGGAAUUGCAUCCGAUACUGCCGUGCUUGAGGACUGGAGAGGAGUCUGGAAUUCAUGGUGGAGCAGUGAAAUGCGUAGAUAUCAUGAGGAACGCUAGUGGCGUAGGCGAGACUCUGGACAGUUUCUGACGCUGAGGCACGAAGGCCAGGGGAGCAAACGGGAUUAGAUACCCCGGUAGUCCUGGCAGUAAACGGUGCACGUUUGGUGUGGGAGGAAUCGACCCCUUCCGUGCCGGAGCUAACGCGUUAAACGUGCCGCCUGGGAAGUACGGUCGCAAGAUUAAAACUCAAAGAAAUUGACGGGGACCCGCACAAGCGGUGGAGUAUGUGGCUUAAUUCGAUGCAACGCG